UACAGAGGUGGCAAGCGUUGUUCGGAAUUACUGGGCGUAAAGGGCGCGUAGGCGGCUUGGUCAGUCCCGUGUGAAAUCCCUCGGCUCAACUGAGGAACUGCACGGGAAACUGCCUGGCUUGAGUUCGGGAGAGGGAAGCGGAAUUCCGGGUGUAGCGGUGAAAUGCGUAGAUAUCCGGAGGAACACCGAUGGCGAAGGCAGCCCCCUGGGCUGAGAUUGACGCUCAGGCACGAAAGCGUGGGGAGCAAACAGG
This 253-nucleotide ribosomal RNA is filed under the name uncultured bacterium. RNAcentral describes it as "partial 16S ribosomal RNA". It matches the Rfam family "Bacterial small subunit ribosomal RNA", at positions 524 to 776 of the family's 1533-position model. The record is from RNAcentral.